This 253-nucleotide ribosomal RNA is filed under the name uncultured bacterium. RNAcentral's name for it is "partial 16S ribosomal RNA". It matches the Rfam family "Bacterial small subunit ribosomal RNA", at positions 524 to 776 of the family's 1533-position model. The record is from RNAcentral.
UACGUAGGGUGCGAGCGUUAAUCGGAAUUACUGGGCGUAAAGCGUACGUAGGCGGCUUUGUAAGUUAGAGGUGAAAGCCCGGGGCUCAACCCCGGAAUUGCCUUUAAGACUGCAUCGCUUGAACGUCGGAGAGGUGAGUGGAAUUCCAGGUGUAGCGGUGAAAUGCGUAGAUAUCUGGAGGAACACCGGUGGCGAAGGCGGCAUCCUGGACCGGUAUUGACGCUGAGGCGCGAAAGCCAGGGGAGCAAACGGG